RNAcentral lists this ribosomal RNA (253 nucleotides) under uncultured bacterium. Its description in RNAcentral is "partial 16S ribosomal RNA". It matches the Rfam family "Bacterial small subunit ribosomal RNA", at positions 524 to 776 of the family's 1533-position model. The record is from RNAcentral.
UACGUAGGUGACAAGCGUUGUCCGGAUUUACUGGGCGUAAAGAGCGCGCAGGCGGUCGUUCAAGUCGAGUGUGAAAGCCCCCGGCUCAACUGGGGAGGGUCACUCGAUACUGAUCGACUCGAAGGCAGGAGAGGGUAGUGGAAUUCCCGGUGUAGUGGUGAAAUGCGUAGAUAUCGGGAGGAACACCAGUGGCGAAGGCGGCGUCCUGGACCAACACUGACACUGAGGAGCGAAAGCCAGGGGAGCAAACGGG